GGUGAAUCUGUGGUCAUGCUAGGUCUCCGACUUGCUUGAUUACAGUGAACCCUCAUCUAGAGUUUUUCUCUUCGAUAACAUAUUGUUGCUAGUAGUCCCUACUGCCGCAAUAUGUUCUUCGAUGGGGAUGAUACCUCUAGAGACCAUCAAGAGAGAUAUGACCACCUUGGGAAUUAUCACUAAAAGCCCUUUUAGCUCCCUC
This 202-nucleotide long non-coding RNA is filed under the name Glycine max (soybean). Its description in RNAcentral is "long non-coding RNA (GMAX_LNC001013)". Lineage: Eukaryota; Viridiplantae; Streptophyta; Magnoliopsida; Fabales; Fabaceae. The record is from RNAcentral.